This 261-nucleotide ribosomal RNA is filed under the name uncultured archaeon. RNAcentral describes it as "partial 16S ribosomal RNA". It matches the Rfam family "Archaeal small subunit ribosomal RNA", at positions 748 to 1009 of the family's 1478-position model. The record is from RNAcentral.
UAGCCGUAAACGAUACUCGCUAGGUGUCGGCCACGGUGCGACCGUUGUCGGUGCCGUAGGGAAGCCAUGAAGCGAGCCACCUGGGAAGUACGGCCGCAAGGCUGAAACUUAAAGGAAUUGGCGGGGGAGCACCACAACGGGUGGAGCUUGCGGUUUAAUUGGAUUCAACGCCGGAAAUCUUACCGGGACCGACAGCAACAUGAAGGCCAGGCUGAAGACUUUGCCGGAUUAGCUGAGAGGUGGUGCAUGGCGUAGUCGUGU